This is a long non-coding RNA of Megachile rotundata (alfalfa leafcutting bee), 341 nucleotides long. The record is from RefSeq and is a predicted model, not a curated record. Lineage: Eukaryota; Metazoa; Arthropoda; Insecta; Hymenoptera; Megachilidae.
GUUAUUCGCCCGACUGCUGUAAGCAUCGUCCGAAUGACUGCUGCGAUUGCAUGCUUUAUCAACUCGGCGGUUCUUCGUGAUCACCGCGACUGAGCUGAACUUGAAGGAAGAAAAUUAUAAUAUUUGUUAAGAGGAUCAAAUGAAUACUUAAAAGAAGAUUAAAUGGAUCAAAUGAGUCAGGUGAAUCCAGUGCAUUUGAUGGAAUUAUACAUGAAGAGUUUUUGGAUAUGGAAUGAAUUUUCACAUAUGAAGAAACUUAGGUUCUAAAGUGAAACAAGACAAGAUAGCUCUCGAUUGCGGAAGAAAAAAGACUACAUUAAAAUAAGUUCAUCGAGAGUGCU